UGGUUCUCGUUAGAUCACCGAAGUCAAGCAUCAUUGGGCGCGGUCAGUACUUGGGUGGGUGACUGCGUG
Caerostris darwini is the source of this 69-nucleotide non-coding RNA. The record is from the annotation of a GenBank genome assembly. Lineage: Eukaryota; Metazoa; Arthropoda; Arachnida; Araneae; Araneidae.